AUUGAACGCUGGCGGCAGGCCUAACACAUGCAAGUCGAGCGGAUGACGGGAGCUUGCUCCUUGAUUCAGCGGCGGACGGGUGAGUAAUGCCUAGGAAUCUGCCUGGUAGUGGGGGACAACGUUUCGAAAGGAACGCUAAUACCGCAUACGUCCUACGGGAGAAAGCAGGGGACCUUCGGGCCUUGCGCUAUCAGAUGAGCCUAGGUCGGAUUAGCUAGUUGGUGGGGUAAUGGCUCACCAAGGCGACGAUCCGUAACUGGUCUGAGAAGAUGAUCAGUCACACUGGAACUGAGAGACGGUCCAGACUCCUACGGGGGGCAGCAGUGGGGAAUAUUGGACAAUGGGCUAAAGCCUGAUCCAGCCAUGCCGCGUGUGUGAAGAAGGUCUUCGGAUUGUAAAGCACGUUAAGUUGGGAGGAAGGGCAGUAAGCUAAUACCUUGCUGUUUUGACGUUACCGACAGAAUAAGCACCGGCUAACUCUGUGCCAGCCGCCGCCGUAA
Molecule: ribosomal RNA, 500 nt
Filed under: uncultured bacterium
Lineage: Bacteria
Description: partial 16S ribosomal RNA
Rfam family: Bacterial small subunit ribosomal RNA
Source: RNAcentral